This 500-nucleotide ribosomal RNA is filed under the name uncultured bacterium. RNAcentral's name for it is "partial 16S ribosomal RNA". It matches the Rfam family "Bacterial small subunit ribosomal RNA", at positions 30 to 523 of the family's 1533-position model. The record is from RNAcentral.
AUUGAACGCUGGCGGCAGGCCUAACACAUGUAAGUCGCGCGGUAGAGAGAAGCUUGCUUCUCUUGAGAGCGGCGGCCGGGUGAGUAAUGCCUAGGAACCUGCCCGGUAGCGGGGGAUAACGAUAGGAAACGGAAGCUAAUACCGCAUAUCUCCUACGGGAGAAAGCAAGGGACCUUCGGUCCUUGCGAUGGUAGAUGAGCCUGGGUCGGAUUAGCUAGUUGGUGGGGUAAUGGCUCACCAAGGCGACGAUGCGUAACUGGUCUGAGAGGAUGAUCAGUCACACUGGAACUGAGACACGGUCCAGACUCCUACGGGAGGCAGCAGUGGGGAAUAUUGGACAGUGGGCGAAAGCCUGAUCCAGCCUUGCCGCGUGUGUGAAGAAGGUCUUCGGAUUGUAAAGCACUUUAAGUUGGGAGGAAGGGCAGUAAAUUAAUACUUUGCUGUUUUGACGUUACCGACAGAAUAAGCACCGGCUAACUCUGUGCCAGCCGCCGCAGUAA